GACGAACCGUGCGAACGUUGUUCGGAAUCACUGGGCUUAAAGGGCGCGUAGGCGGUUUGCCAAGUCAGGGGUGAAAUCCUGCAGCUCAACUGUAGAAGUGCCUUUGAUACUGGCGAACUCGAGGGAGAUAGGGGUGGGUGGAACUUCUGGUGGAGCGGUGAAAUGCGUUGAUAUCAGAAGGAACGCCGGUGGCGAAAGCGACCCACUGGAUCUCUUCUGACGCUGAGGCGCGAAAGCUAGGGGAGCAAACGGG
Molecule: ribosomal RNA, 253 nt
Filed under: uncultured bacterium
Lineage: Bacteria
Description: partial 16S ribosomal RNA
Rfam family: Bacterial small subunit ribosomal RNA
Source: RNAcentral